Molecule: ribosomal RNA, 309 nt
Filed under: uncultured bacterium
Lineage: Bacteria
Description: bacterial SSU rRNA
Rfam family: Bacterial small subunit ribosomal RNA
Source: RNAcentral
GACGAACGCUGGCGGCGUGCCUAACACACGCAAGUCGAACGGAAGUAAGAGCUUCGGUUUUGCUUUAGUGGCGAACGGGUGAGUAACGCGUGAGGAACCUGCCUUUCAGUGGGGGACAACAGUUGGAAACGACUGCUAAUACCGCAUAAGGCCCACGACCCGGCAUCGGGUUGAGGGAAAAGGAGCAAUCCGCUUUGAGAUGGCCUCGCGUCCGAUUAGCUAGUUGGUGAGGUAACGGCCCACCAAGGCAACGAUCGGUAGCCGGGCUGAGAGGUUGAACGGCCACAUUGGGACUGAGACACGGCCCAG